This 433-nucleotide ribosomal RNA is filed under the name uncultured bacterium. Its description in RNAcentral is "partial 16S ribosomal RNA". It matches the Rfam family "Bacterial small subunit ribosomal RNA", at positions 29 to 507 of the family's 1533-position model. The record is from RNAcentral.
AACGAACGCUGGCGGCAUGCCUAACACAUGCAAGUCGAACGAGACCUUCGGGUCUUGUGGCGCACGGGUGCGUACCGCGUGGGAACCUGCCCUUAGGUUCGGAAUCCCUCCCCGAAAGGGGUGCUAAUACCGGAUAAUCUCUUCGGACCAAAGAUUUCUCGCCUUUGGGUGGGCCCGCGUUGGAUUCGCUAGUUGGUAGGGUAAAAGCCUGCCAAGGCGACGAUCCAUAGCUGGUCUGAGAGGAUGACCAGCCACACUGGGAAUGAGACACGGCCCAGACUGGGAGGCGAGGCAGCAGUGGGGAAUAUUGGACAAGGAGCGAAAGCCUGAUCCAGCAAUGCCGCGUGAGUGAUGAAGGCCGUAGGGUUGUAAAGCUCUUUUACCCGGGAUGAGAAUGACAGUACCGGGAGAAUAAGCACCGGCUAACUCCGUG